This is a ribosomal RNA of Penicillium decumbens, 120 nucleotides long. NCBI's taxonomy places the organism in Eukaryota, Fungi, Ascomycota, Eurotiomycetes, Eurotiales, Aspergillaceae. The record is from Rfam.
ACAUACGACCAUAGGGUGUGGAGAACAGGGCUUCCCGUCCGCUCAGCCGUACUUAAGCCACACGCCGGCAGGUUAGUAGUUGGGUGGGUGACCACCAGCGAAUCCCUGCUGUUGUAUGUU